This 588-nucleotide ribosomal RNA is filed under the name Triticum aestivum (bread wheat). RNAcentral describes it as "partial small subunit ribosomal RNA". The record is from RNAcentral. Lineage: Eukaryota; Viridiplantae; Streptophyta; Magnoliopsida; Poales; Poaceae.
AUGAAACGAGCACCACGACGACCCUCGAAGGGUUCGGAUGCGUCAAGUUCAUCUACAUGUGUGUAUGACUACAUACCCAGGAUUCGUCUAGUACCUCUACAGGAGACCCGAACGUCUACGAACGGUGCACGACGACCGAAGGCCUCGGAUACCGUCAAGUACCUACACCGGCAAGGCUACACAGACGUUCGUUCCACUACUACACCGAAACGGCAAGGUCGACUAUGUUUUGUUGCCCCGUCCGGAGUUGUCAAGUACCCGAAGACCAUAUUGGCACCAAGUACAUCUACCGCCGUCUUCGGAAUCGCUAAGAACGGCAAGCACCCCUUCGAGAUGACGAGACCGACAAGUUCAAAUGACCCCAAGUACCUCUCCAAAAACGAGACGUAUACCGCUACCGUCGCAAGAAUCGAGACCAACAAGUCCGAAGAUGCAAGUACCACUCCGAACCAUUUCCGACAUCGUCGCGUUUGUGAGGAUCCGGUCGACUACGUCUGUUUGACUUCUUCAUGGAAUCGUUUUUCUUCCUUGCGGGAUUUCAGGCAAGAUGACCAUACCCUCGAAAUCACUUCUAUCUUUGCUUGCUAG